RNAcentral lists this transfer RNA (74 nucleotides) under Rattus norvegicus (Norway rat). It matches the Rfam family "tRNA". Rfam says of the family: Transfer RNA (tRNA) molecules are approximately 80 nucleotides in length. Their secondary structure includes four short double-helical elements and three loops (D, anti-codon, and T loops). Further hydrogen bonds mediate the characteristic L-shaped molecular structure. tRNAs have two regions of fundamental functional importance: the anti-codon, which is responsible for specific mRNA codon recognition, and the 3' end, to which the tRNAs corresponding amino acid is attached (by aminoacyl-tRNA synthetases). tRNAs cope with the degeneracy of the genetic code in two manners: having more than one tRNA (with a specific anti-codon) for a particular amino acid; and 'wobble' base-pairing, i.e. permitting non-standard base-pairing at the 3rd anti-codon position. Lineage: Eukaryota; Metazoa; Chordata; Mammalia; Rodentia; Muridae. The record is from Rfam by way of RNAcentral.
GUGGAGAUGGCUCAGUCAGUAAAGAGCUUGUCUUGUAAGCAAUGAAGACUUGGGUUCAAGCCCCAGGUCCCACA